RNAcentral lists this long non-coding RNA (1097 nucleotides) under Nannospalax galili (Upper Galilee mountains blind mole rat). Its description in RNAcentral is "lncRNA (ENSNGAG00000024588.1)". The record is from RNAcentral. Lineage: Eukaryota; Metazoa; Chordata; Mammalia; Rodentia; Spalacidae.
AAUCAAAAACCAAAGCACAGCUGGACGUGGUGGCGUACACUUUUAAUCCCAGCACUUGGGAGGCAGAGGCAGGCGGAUCUUUGUGAGUUCGAGGCCAGCCUGGUCUGUAUAGCGAGUUCCAGGACAGCUGGGGCUACAGGGAGGAGAUCCUGUCUCAAAAAAGACAACAACAACAACAAAAACAAAAACAAAGCAAAAAUUUUCACCCUUUUUUCUUUCACCUUUCAGGUGAUCCCAGUGAAUUCUGCAGGCUCUCCUGUGGGAGAUGUGCCCUUCAUCCGAUCGGGGUUGCUGGGAUUUGUAGGGCCAGGUAGCUUGGUGUUCGUGGUUGGAAAAAUGGAUGGAUUACUCAUGGUUAGUGGUCGAAGACAUAAUGCUGAUGACAUUGUUGCAACUGGAUUGGCUGUUGAGUCUAUAAAGACUGUCUAUAGAGGAAGGUGAGUGGUACAGGGUUGGGGGUUGGCACUCCUAGGAGAACCUGAGUAGUGCUUCACCGAGCAAUCUGAGUUGUGUUCCGUAGAUUCUCAUCACAAUUAGACCGGGUUAAAAUAGCAGAAGUCUGGCUUUGAAUAUAUAUCCUUCAAUGUCUGGUUCUUUGGCUGUAAUUGAAAAGAAUGAGACAUAACUACAUAGGUAUACCAGAGUCUAAUUGUCACUAUUUAUUGAAUACUGAAAACUGAGAAUUCUAAAACACAAUAUUGAGCUUUCCACGUUUCUUCAAUACAGAAGUAGUACCAUUCAGGCUAAUGUAGGUAGAUACCACUCUCUAGAGAUUCACAUGUAAGAAUUGUUCCUCAUUUCUGACUAAAUUAUUACAGUUUGAAUAUAGAGAUUGACAAAGCAUCUAAGUGCUAGGAGUUUCCAUUCUGUGGGGAGGUCAGUCAGCACAAUGCAGGAACAAGCAUUUGGGCUGCUGCUGGCUUGUUUCAGCAGUUACAGCUGAAGACGUCUAUCUUUUAGGGUUUUUGUCUUGUUUUGUUUUGUUUUUACAUAAGAACUUUUUUGUACAGGUAUAUGAUGUGCUUUGAGCAUGUGCCUCCCCUACCCUCCUCUUUUGCAUUUCUUUCAUAGCCCAUAUUUAUAUCUCUCUGUCCAGU